This 160-nucleotide ribosomal RNA is filed under the name Tricholomopsis cf. decora TENN59574. RNAcentral describes it as "5.8S ribosomal RNA". It matches the Rfam family "5.8S ribosomal RNA". Rfam says of the family: 5.8S ribosomal RNA (5.8S rRNA) is a component of the large subunit of the eukaryotic ribosome. It is transcribed by RNA polymerase I as part of the 45S precursor that also contains 18S and 28S rRNA. Functionally, it is thought that 5.8S rRNA may be involved in ribosome translocation. The record is from RNAcentral. Lineage: Eukaryota; Fungi; Basidiomycota; Agaricomycetes; Agaricales.
ACAACUUUCAACAAUGGAUCUCUUGGUUCUCGCAUCGAUGAAGAACGCAGCGAAAUGCGAUAAGUAAUGUGAAUUGCAGAUCUCAGUGAAUCAUCGAAUCUUUGAACGCACCUUGCGCUCUUUGGUAUUCCAAAGGGCAUGCCUGUUUGAGUGUCAUUAC